Molecule: ribosomal RNA, 439 nt
Filed under: uncultured bacterium
Lineage: Bacteria
Description: partial 16S ribosomal RNA
Rfam family: Bacterial small subunit ribosomal RNA
Source: RNAcentral
CGGGGGGCUGCACCAGUGGGGAAUAUUGCACAAUGGAGGAAACUCUGAUGCAGCAACGCCGCGUGGAGGAUGACACUUUUCGGAGCGUAAACUCCUUUUAUAUAGGAAGAAGAUGACGGUACUAUAUGAAUAAGCGCCGGCUAACUCCGUGCCAGCAGCCGCGGUAAUACGGAGGGCGCAAGCGUUACUCGGAAUCACUGGGCGUAAAGAGCGUGUAGGCGGAUUAAAAAGUCAGAAGUGAAAUCCUAUAGCUUAACUAUAGAACUGCUUCUGAAACUCUUAAUCUAGAAUAUGGGAGAGGUAGAUGGAGUUUCUGGUGUAGGGGUAAGAUCCGUAGAGAUCAGAAGGAAUACCGAUUGCGAAGGCGAUCUACUAGAACAUUAUUGACGCUGAGACGCGAAAGCGUGGGGAGCAAACAGGAUUAGAUACCCCUGUAGUC